GGUUUGAUCUUGGCUCAGAUUGAACGCUGGUGGGAUGUUUACACAUGCAGUCGAAUCGGCAGGCACGGACUUCGGUCUGUGGCGAGUGGCGAAUCGGUGAGUAAUGUAUCGGGAACGCUCAGUAGCGGGGAUAACUACGCGAAAGCGUAGCUAAUACCGCAUAUCUUAAAGCGGGAUCUUUCGGGCCUCGCACUAUUAGAGCGGCCGAUAUCGGAUUAGCUAGUUGCAGGCAACGGCUCACCAAGUUAAGCACGAUCCGUAGCUGGUUUGAGAGGACGACCACGACGCCAUCGACUGUUGAGACACGGCCCAGACUCCUACGGAAAGCAGUGGGGAAUUUUGGACAAUGGGGAAACUUGAUCCGCUCAUCCGUGCAAGACAUGAAGGCCUCUCGGGCUAAAGUUGAGUCUUUAGCAGAAAGAAACGCGACGAUGUUGCAACUGACGGUACCUGCAGAAUAAGCACUGCUAACCAAAGCAGCAGCCGCGGUGAUACGUAGGGUGCAAGCGUGUUAAUCGGAAUUACUGGCGUGGUAAGCGUGCAGGCGGUUCGGAAAGAAAGAUGUGAAAUCCCAGAGCUUAACUUUGAACUUACUUUAGAAUUAUUAUCAAUGAGCUAUGCCAGAGGGAGGGUGGAAUUCGCGUGUAGCGGUGAAAUGCGUAGAUAUGCGGAGGAACACCGAUGGCGAAGGCAGCCUCCGGGAUAACACUGACGCUCAUGCACGAAAGCGUGGGGAGCAAACAGAUUAGACACCUUGGUGGCCCACGCCCCAAACGAUGUCAAUCUUCUCAUUGCUGGGGCCUUCGGGCCUUAAAGCAGCUAACACAGUGGUUGACCGCCUGGGGAGUACGGUUCGUGCGAUUAAAACUCAAAGGAAUUGACGGGGACCCGCACAAGCGGUGGAUGAUGUGGAUUAAUUCGAUGCACGCGAAAACCUUACCUACCCUUGACAUGUCUGGAAUCCCGAAGAGAUUUGGGAGUGCUCGCAAGAGAAACCGGAACACAGGUGCUGCAUGGCUGUCGUCAGCUCGUGUCGUGAGAUGUUGGGUUAAGUCCUGCAACGAGCAAGCAAUCCCUUGUCAUUAGUUGCUACGAAAGGGCACUCUACUGAGACUGCCGGUGACAAACCGGAGGAAGGUGGGGAUGACGUCAAGUCCCUACGACCCUUAUGGGUAGGGUCAGCCAUCAUACAAUGGUCGGGACAGAGGGUCGCCAACCCGCGAGGGGAGCCAAUCCCAGAAACCCGAUCGUAGUCCGGAUCGCAGUCUGCAACUCGACUGCGUGAAGUCGGAAUCGCUAGUAAUCGCGGAUCAGCAUGUCGCGGUGAAUACGUUCCCGGGUCUUGUACACACCGCCCGUCACACCAUGGGAGUGGGUUUUACCAGAAGUAGUUAGCCUAACCGUAAGGAGGGCGAUUACCGACGGUAGGAUUCAUGGAUUGGGGUGAAGUCGUAAUAAGGUAGC
RNAcentral lists this ribosomal RNA (1464 nucleotides) under uncultured Bordetella sp. RNAcentral describes it as "partial 16S-23S ribosomal RNA intergenic spacer". It matches the Rfam family "Bacterial small subunit ribosomal RNA". The record is from RNAcentral. Lineage: Bacteria; Pseudomonadati; Pseudomonadota; Betaproteobacteria; Burkholderiales; Alcaligenaceae.